GAAUGCUGACAUAAGUAACGAUAAAGCGGGUGAAAAGCCCGCUCGCCGGAAGACCAAGGGUUCCUGUCCAACGUUAAUCGGGGCAGGGUGAGUCGACCCCUAAGGCGAGGCCGAAAGGCGUAGUCGAUGGGAAACAGGUUAAUAUUCCUGUACUUGGUGUUACUGCGAAGGGGGGACGGAGAAGGCUAUGUUAGCCGGGCGACGGUUGUCCCGGUUUAAGCAUGUAGGCUGGUUGUCCAGGCAAAUCCGGAUAAUCAAGGCUGAGGUGUGAUGACGAGGCACUACGGUGCUGAAGUAACAAAUGCCCUGCUUCCAGGAAAAGCCUCUAAGCAUCAGGUAACAU
RNAcentral lists this ribosomal RNA (343 nucleotides) under Klebsiella pneumoniae. Its description in RNAcentral is "partial 23S ribosomal RNA". It matches the Rfam family "Bacterial large subunit ribosomal RNA", at positions 1292 to 1637 of the family's 2925-position model. The record is from RNAcentral. Lineage: Bacteria; Pseudomonadati; Pseudomonadota; Gammaproteobacteria; Enterobacterales; Enterobacteriaceae.